ACACAUGCAGUCGAGCGCGCAAGGAGCGGCAGACGGUGAGUAACGCGUGGGAAUCAACCCUUCUACGGAAUAACGCAGAACUUGUGCUAAUACCGUAUGACCUUCGAAAGAUAUCGGGAAAGGAUGAGCCCGCGUUGGAUUAGCUAGUUGGUGGGGUAAAGGCCUACCAAGGCGACGAUCCAUAGCUGGUCUGAGAGGAUGAUCAGCCACAUUGGGACUGAGACACGGCCCAAACUCCUACGGGAGGCAGCAGUGGGGAAUAUUGGACAAUGGGCGCAAGCCUGAUCCAGCCAUGCCGCGUGAGUGAUGAAGGCCCUAGGGUUGUAAAGCUCUUUCACCGGUGAAGAUAAUGACGGUAACCGGAGAAGAAGCCCCGGCUAACUUCGUGCCAGCAGCCGCGGUAAUACGAAGGGGGCUAGCGUUGUUCGGAAUUACUGGGCGUAAAGCGCACGUAGGCGGACAUUAAGUCAGGGGUGAAAUCCCGGGGCUCAACUCCGGAACUGCCUUUGAUACUGGGUGUCUAGAGUAUGGAAGAGGUGAGUGGAAUUCCGAGUGUAGAGGUGAAAUUCGUAGAUAUUCGGAGGAACACCAGUGGCGAAGGCGGCUCACUGGUCCAUUACUGACGCUGAGGUGCGAAAGCGUGGGAGCAAACAGGAUUAGAUACCCUGGUAGUCCACGCCGUAAACGAUGAAUGUUAGCCGUCGGGCAGUUACUGUUCGGUGGCGCAGCUAACGCAUUAAACAUUCCGCCUGGAGUACGGUCGCAAGAUUAAAACUCAAAGGAAUUGACGGGCCCGCACAAGCGGUGGAGCAUGUGGUUAAUUCGAAGCAACGCGCAGAACCUUACCAGCCCUUGACAUCCCGAUCGCGGAUUACAGAGAUGUCCUUCAGUUCGGCUGGAUCGAGACAGGUGCUGCAUGGCGUCGUCAGCUCGUGUCGUGAGAUG
Molecule: ribosomal RNA, 945 nt
Filed under: Sinorhizobium sp. N19
Lineage: Bacteria; Pseudomonadati; Pseudomonadota; Alphaproteobacteria; Hyphomicrobiales; Rhizobiaceae
Description: bacterial SSU rRNA
Rfam family: Bacterial small subunit ribosomal RNA
Source: RNAcentral